CUGGCUCAAACAGCUGGCAUCUGUUUUACAGUAACCACCCUCUCUGUGGUUUUGGUGGUGUGUGUGUGUGUGUGUGUGUGUGUGUGUGUGCGUGUGUGUGUGCAUGUGUGUGUGCUAGUGUGUUUGUUCCUUUUGCAGACUUUAAACAUUCAAACAUGACACUAACAGAAGUUCAUGAGAAAUACACACACAAAAACUUCCUUGUUCUCUCUCUCUCUCUGUCUCUCUCUCUCUCUAUUAUACCAAUAUAGCCAUAUAUUGCAGCUUAGUAUAUAGAUAGCAUAUAAUAGAGGAUGAUAUGGCAUGAAAUAAAAACUACUAUUACUGUUAAUACUAUUACUGUUCUCCCCACUGUUAAUCUUUUUGUCCUCUCCCCCCCCCUCUCUCUCUCCCUCCCUCCCUCCGUAUGUUUUCUUGUUCUCUCCCUCCCUCCUUCCGUCUGUUCUCUUGUUCUCUCUGGCUCGUCGCCACACCUGUUUUUAUGAUCCUCUCGCUGAAACGACCAGAAUGACUUGAACUGUAAAGCAGCUCUUGGCUUUAAAGUAUCUCCCUGUCCAAACUAAUUCAUGAAACAUGACUAAUUCUCAGAUAUCGUGGACAGAUAUAUAUAGAGAGAGUGUAUGUUUGUGUGUGCGUGUGUGUGCCUGCUCCCGUGUGUGCCUGCCUGUGCAUGUGUUUAUUGGCAAAUUAACAUCAGAAUUAUUGUGGAGCAGUGCAAAUAUUUGCUGUGGUCAUCUGCAGAGCACUUAAGCAUUAUGUGAGUCGACAGUAAAAGAGUGCCGUCUACUCGUCAGCUGUUGUUCAAAGGAGUGCAGAUAAAGGCCAGGGAAGCACUAAAUGUACUGCGCUGAUGCCAUUGUUUACACAUCUACAAAGUGAUAAGGCACUGCUGCUCAAGCUGUAAAUGAACAACAGUAUUCAGGAUCUUCAUCACUCUGAAAGAAGGAGAACUCAAACCUUUAACCAGUUCUCUCUGCUUCCUGACUCACUGCUGCCCCCUUCAGAUUAGAAAAGAAGCAACAUCAGCCCUACUGAAUCAUUACAACUGGCUCUUUACAUCAAAUGUGCAUGGCGGGUGAAAUCAGUUCCUGCCAUUCUAUUAUAUGUACAAAUUCAUGAACACAUGGGGUGAUAUGUGUAUGUUUUCUUUUAAACAAUAAUGUCUAAUAAUACAGUUGCAAUAAUACAGUCUAACAAUACUGUCUUAUGCCAUUGAGAGUUGAACAAAUGACAACUCUAUAACUAUAAUCAUAUACACAUAAAUCUGUGCAAUGGUAUAGAAAAUAAGUCCAGAUAUUGUGGUAAAAAGUAGCAAAUAUUGAAAAACUUGUGCAACAUCUUCAUGUGCUUUCUGGGGAUGCCUUGGUGUGGCUAUAUGGCCACCAUGGUCACAUAUGAUCAUGUAAACUAUUGCAUUCAGAGUAGCCUAAAGAGAGAGGGGGGAAAGGGCAUGAUGAUGCCAGUUGGGCAGAGAUAGAAGAUGGCAUGGGGGUGACUAAAGGGGCAAAAACUGGGUUAUCUAGUUAAAAGUGUCAUAGCCCUGUCUAGGGUGCAGUCGUUUUGGUUUGAAUAUUGUUUACAUGACCACAUAAGAUCAUGUAUAAGCCCCCCAUGACAUAAGACAGUAAUGAAUAAUAUCCUGUAGUAGUAAAGCACUACUCUAGUUCAACUUGAAAAGAGCACUGAUCAAAUGUGACAGGAGACGAAGGACAUAAUAAGGUGUUUUCACUAAACUGAGGUCUGUUAUUUAACCAUUUAGAAUACCAUUUUGCACUUUGUAACAAGUUAUUAUUUUGAACAACAGUGAGUGAUACUACUGUAGCAUAGCAUUUGUCUUGGUAUGGGGGUUGCAUUUUGAGCAUUUUUGAGUAUUGGGGGAAUCUAUAUGUCCCCCUCAAAGUAUAUUAUGAUUUCACCCUUGGUCUUCGUAAUAUUAUAAAGCACACCAAUAUGCCAAUAUGUCUCAUCUAAAUUGUAACAGCAUUUAAUGUUA
Molecule: long non-coding RNA, 1993 nt
Organism: Alosa sapidissima (American shad)
Lineage: Eukaryota; Metazoa; Chordata; Actinopteri; Clupeiformes; Clupeidae
Exons: 3
Source: RefSeq, a predicted model, not a curated record